This 355-nucleotide transfer RNA is filed under the name uncultured Microcystis sp. RNAcentral's name for it is "partial 16S-23S ribosomal RNA intergenic spacer". The stretch from base 133 to 206 matches the Rfam family "tRNA". Lineage: Bacteria; Bacillati; Cyanobacteriota; Cyanophyceae; Chroococcales; Microcystaceae. The record is from RNAcentral.
AAGGGAGACCUAAUUCGGGUAUAAGACGAAAAAAGAGUAGUCGAAACCAAGAAUCAAUCCCAAAAGGUCGGAACGAGGUAUGUGGCUUUCAAACUAGGUUCUGGGUUCACACAAGACCUGAAUCAGGAACAAGGGCUAUUAGCUCAGGUGGUUAGAGCGCACCCCUGAUAAGGGUGAGGUCCCUGGUUCGAGUCCAGGAUGGCCCACCUGCACAGGUGGCAAAAACAAAGAAGCGAGGAAUCAGCACCUUAUCUUAUCUAUAUAUAAGAGAGAAUGCUGGCUCUGAGUAAAGAGUCCAGGGGAACCUUGGAAACUGCAUAGAGCUAGGUGAAAAAGCCAAAAAAGAAGACCGCAA